RNAcentral lists this ribosomal RNA (198 nucleotides) under uncultured bacterium. RNAcentral's name for it is "partial 16S ribosomal RNA". It matches the Rfam family "Bacterial small subunit ribosomal RNA", at positions 328 to 539 of the family's 1533-position model. The record is from RNAcentral.
ACGCUCGACACCUACGGGAGGCAGCAGUGGGGAAUAUUGCACAAUGGGGGAAACCCUGAUGCAGCGACGCCGCGUGGAGGAAGAAGGUCUUCGGAUUGUAAACUCCUGUUGUUGAGGACGAUAAUGACGGUACUCAACAAGGAAGUGACGGCUAACUACGUGCUAGCAGCCGCGGUAAUCUGAGCGGGCUGGCAAGGC